RNAcentral lists this ribosomal RNA (253 nucleotides) under uncultured bacterium. RNAcentral describes it as "partial 16S ribosomal RNA". It matches the Rfam family "Bacterial small subunit ribosomal RNA", at positions 524 to 776 of the family's 1533-position model. The record is from RNAcentral.
UACGUAGGGUGCGAGCGUUGUCCGGAAUUAUUGGGCGUAAAGGGCUCGUAGGCGGUCUGUCACGUCGGGAGUGAAAACUCAGGGCUUAACCCUGAGCCUGCUUCCGAUACGGGCAGACUAGAGGUAUGCAGGGGAGAACGGAAUUCCUGGUGUAGCGGUGAAAUGCGCAGAUAUCAGGAGGAACACCGGUGGCGAAGGCGGCCUUCUGGACAGUGACUGACGCUGAGAUGCGAAAGCGUGGGGAGCAAACAGG